RNAcentral lists this ribosomal RNA (913 nucleotides) under uncultured crenarchaeote. RNAcentral describes it as "bacterial SSU rRNA". It matches the Rfam family "Archaeal small subunit ribosomal RNA", at positions 1 to 922 of the family's 1478-position model. The record is from RNAcentral. Lineage: Archaea; Thermoproteati; Thermoproteota.
UUCCGGUUGAUCCUGCCGGACCUGACUGCUAUCGGAUUGGUACUAAGCCAUGCGAGUCGUUGUAGCAAUACAAGGCGGACGGCUCAGUAACACGUAGUCAACCUAACCUAUGGACGUGGAUAACCUCGGGAAACUGAGAAUAAACCGCGAUAGAUCAUUAUGCCUGGAAUGGCUUAUGGUUUAAACAAUUUAUUGCCGUAGGAUGGGACUGCGGCCUAUCAGCUUGUUGGUGAGGUAAUGGCCCACCAAGGCUAUAACAGGUACGGGCUCUGAGAGGAGAAGCCCGGAGAUGGGUACUGAGACACGGACCCAGGCCCUAUGGGGCGCAGCAGGCGAGAAACCUUAGCAAUGUGCGAAAGCACGACUAGGUUAAUCCGAGUGAUUUCUGUUGAAGAAAUCUUUUGUCAGUCGUAAAACCACAGACGAAUAAGGGGUGGGCAAGUCUGGUGUCAGCCGCCGCGGUAAUACCAGCACCUCGAGUGGUCAGGAGGUUUAUUGGGCCUAAAGCAUCCGUAGCCGGCUUUGCAAGUCUCCGGUUAAAUCCAGCUGCUCAACAGAUGGGCUGCCGGAGAUACUACAAAGCUAGGGAGCGGGAGAGGCAGACGGUAUUCUGUGGGUAGGGGUAAAAUCCUCUGAUCCAUAGAGGACCACCAGUGGCGAAGGCGGUCUGCCAGAACGCGUUCGACGGUGAGGGAUGAAAGCUGGGGGAGCAAACCGGAUUAGAUACCCGGGUAGUCCCAGCUGUAAACGAUGCAAACUCGGUGAUGCAUUGGCUUAUGGCCAAUGCAGUGCCGCAGGGAAGCCGUUAAGUUUGCCGCCUGGGAAGUACGGACGCAAGUCUGAAACUUAAAGGAAUUGGCGGGGGAGCACCACAAGGGGUGAAGCCUGCGGUUCAAUUGGAUUCAACGCCGGG